This 72-nucleotide transfer RNA is filed under the name Lympha mucosa. RNAcentral describes it as "tRNA-Ala". It matches the Rfam family "tRNA". Rfam says of the family: Transfer RNA (tRNA) molecules are approximately 80 nucleotides in length. Their secondary structure includes four short double-helical elements and three loops (D, anti-codon, and T loops). Further hydrogen bonds mediate the characteristic L-shaped molecular structure. tRNAs have two regions of fundamental functional importance: the anti-codon, which is responsible for specific mRNA codon recognition, and the 3' end, to which the tRNAs corresponding amino acid is attached (by aminoacyl-tRNA synthetases). tRNAs cope with the degeneracy of the genetic code in two manners: having more than one tRNA (with a specific anti-codon) for a particular amino acid; and 'wobble' base-pairing, i.e. permitting non-standard base-pairing at the 3rd anti-codon position. The record is from RNAcentral. Lineage: Eukaryota; Rhodophyta; Florideophyceae; Batrachospermales; Batrachospermaceae.
GGGAAUAUAGUUCAAUAGGUAUAACAUAUGUCUUGCAUACAUAAAAUACAGGUUCGAGUCCUGUUAUUUCCA